AAUCGACCGCCUGGGGAGUACGGCCGCAAGGUUAAAACUCAAAUGAAUUGACGGGGGCCCGCACAAGCGGUGGAGCAUGUGGUUUAAUUCGAUGCAACGCGAAGAACCUUACCUGGUCUUGACAUCCACAGAACUUAGCAGAGAUGCUUUGGUGCCUUCGGGAACUGUGAGACAGGUGCUGCAUGGCUGUCGUCAGCUCGUGUUGUGAAAUGUUGGGUUAAGUCCCGCAACGAGCGCAACCCUUAUCCUUUGUUGCCAGCGGUCCGGCCGGGAACUCAAAGGAG
RNAcentral lists this ribosomal RNA (284 nucleotides) under Klebsiella pneumoniae. RNAcentral's name for it is "partial 16S ribosomal RNA". It matches the Rfam family "Bacterial small subunit ribosomal RNA", at positions 863 to 1147 of the family's 1533-position model. Lineage: Bacteria; Pseudomonadati; Pseudomonadota; Gammaproteobacteria; Enterobacterales; Enterobacteriaceae. The record is from RNAcentral.